AUGUCCUGAACGCUUAAUUCUUUACCCGAAAGAAGCGGAGGACCCAUUUCCUGGGGUGAAUCCCCCUGGAGAGGAGGCGUGAUAGUGCGCCCGUUUUCCCGGGGGUAGGGUUAUCCUUUCAACCCGAACCCGACAGCUAACUUCGUAAGCGUGGAAGGGAGGACAU
This 166-nucleotide small RNA is filed under the name Desulfofundulus australicus. Its description in RNAcentral is "Desulfotomaculum australicum c-di-AMP sequence". It matches the Rfam family "c-di-AMP riboswitch aptamer (ydaO/yuaA leader)". From Rfam's summary of the family: This family represents a conserved RNA structure found upstream of the ydaO and yuaA genes in Bacillus subtilis and related genes in other bacteria. The ydaO/yuaA element is thought to act as a genetic "off" switch for the ydaO and yuaA genes in its native state. The record is from RNAcentral. Lineage: Bacteria; Bacillati; Bacillota; Clostridia; Eubacteriales; Peptococcaceae.